CUCAUUCUCGUUCCUGCUGCCUUGUGAAGAGGUGUCUUCUGCUAUGAUUGUAAGUUUCCUGAGGUCUUCCCUAGCCAUGUGGAACUGUCCAGGAAUACAAAUGCUGAUGUGAUGCUAUUCAGAUCCUUAAGAUGAUAUGCCAAGCAGCUGGGAAGCAAAGAUGAGGAAGACAUGACCCUGUCCUGGAAAAGCUUCUUGACUUGAAGGUAGGGAAAGAGCUGACAGCAUUUUUAUAUUUUCUGCAUCUACUGCAGACAACAAUGUCCUGUACAUCUGGCCAAAGGCCAAUCUCUAGUAGGCUAAUUUCUGUAUGCUGGUGAGAUGAGCAAAACACAUGGAAUCUCAGUUGACAAAUAAUUCAAGCAGGUUAAUCACUUCAUGCUCAUGUUACCCCACUUGGUCUCCUUGAAAGAUCUUUUCCUUGGGUUUGGGCUAAAGACUGUUUGUUUUACUGACCUCAGUGACUCACUCUGGGAUUGGCUAGUCUAGAUUCUAAGAAUGCUCAGUUUCCUUCUUUUCAAAACAAAAUCUCAAUAUCUAUUAAAGAACUAAAACGUUAUUUUAAGUGCAGUAAUCAAUAAGCCUGAAGAAUAAUGUUUGGAGUGUUUAUGGUUGUGUUGAAUGACUUGUAUUUUCAAAAUGUGCUCCUAUGGAAAAACUACUUUUAAUUUGAAUGCUUAAUAUUUACAAGCUGCAAAAAGAUUCAGAAUUAAUCAUAUUUCUACAGUAACAGUGAUGAAAAAACCCCAUUGUUAUAAUGAUUUGUUUAAUUUCCAUUCAUAAUUCAGCCACCAUACUGUAAUUCUACAGUUGUAUUUAUCUUCCCUGUGUACUCUUCCUCCAGUCUGUUUCUCCUCCUGUUUUCUAGCCUACUGCUGCUAAUUGCUCUCCCUCUAAUCAGCAAGAAUCUGAACAUUUGAAGCCUUUUCCUUUGGCUCUUCCCUUUCUUUUGCCUCUAUUAUCUGGUCAUUAUUAAAAUCAUAUCUUGCCAUUUGCCUUCCUCAAAUACAUUAUUUUAUAUUUUAUCAGUAAGAAAAUCCAGUUUUAAAUUAUCUAUAUGGCUUUGCAAAUAAAGACUACAUCUCCCGGUAUUUCCGUAUAGCUAGAUGUGCUUAUAUGUUUUAGUUCUGAACAAUGAGAUGUAAGCAGAAAUGCUAUUCAGAAGCUUCCAGGAAGCUUCUUAGAAGGCAUUGUGGGUGCCAUUUGUCAUUGUCUUUUUUGUCUCUUUCUACUAUGUGCUCCCUGCCUGGAGCAAAAGCAGCCAUUUUGAGACAUGAGGCAACAUGCUAAUAAGCAUAGUGGAACAGCAAGGUGGGAGAAUGGUUGCUGGCCAAUGGAAAGCUGACAUACCAGCCCUGAACUGCUUAAUUCUGCAUUUAUUUCAUAUGAGAUAUAAAUAAAUUUGUCUUUAAAAAUCAGUUUUAGGUUCUCUGUUACAUGAAUCAAAUCUAGUCCUAAUUAAUACUCUUUCCUUAUACUUUUUUCCCAUUCUUGCCAUUCUCACUAUUGUUAUUAAUGCCACAGGAAAUUGAAAAGCAAUGGAAUGCAGACAAUGUGAUGAAGCCUUAGCAGCACAGGCUUUGGAGUAAUUUCUUUUUUCAGUCUUUGCUCUAUGUGUAACUUUACCUCUCUGUGCCUUAGUUUCCUCAUUGUUAAAUGGAGACUUCAUACAUUUAUUGUCAGGAAUAAAUGAGAUAAUGCAUAUGAAAAAAAUCAUAUGUAUAGUGCCUGGUGGUAAGAGCUGUAUGAAGGGUAGCUCCCUUAAUAUUAUCAUCUUGUUUAGUUUGACCUAAGGGAGAGAUAGUAGAACAAAUGCCAUUGAACACAAUAUACUGAUUGAAUAGUUUAGUAAAUAUUAACCUGCCAUUCACCCUCUUCUCAGCUCAAUCAUUUUUAUAGUUAUACUGAAAUUUUAUAUUUGGCAUGUUUAUAUUUACAUUUAAACUAAGGUGCCCAAAUUUAUAGGCCAUGCUAAAUUAUAGACUCAUAGUAACCAUGCUGUACACAUUAUUGAUGUGGCAUAUUUCUCAAAAUCUUUUUCUGGGAUGAUCUUUUAUACCAUCUUCUUUGGCAGGGAAGCAUCUUGUACCCAAGUCUUAUAUUAUCUUCUAUAAUAUUUACCAUACCUGGAGGUUUAUUCUGCUUGUAUAAUAUUUACCAAAUCUGGAGGUUUAUUCUCUACUUUUUUUUCAUGUACACAUAAGCCUGUGAAACAGAAUGUUCUUCAGCAACAGCCUGAUUCCCAGAUUAAAAUACUCAGCCCAACACUUAUAUCAGAUCUCACACUUCCUCUUUUCUUUUCAAAGAUCUUUUCAAAAUUAAAAAAAAAAUCUUUAUCCCAAUAGUGUUCAUGACAUAGCUCAAAUAUGCUAGCUACAUUGUUGAACAGUCUUAUCCUUUUUCUUUUUUUGGAUACAGGGUCUUGCUCUGUCGCCAAGGCUGGAGUGCAGUGGUGCUUUCUCAGCUCACUGCAGCUUGAUCUUCUGGGUUCAAGCAAUCCUCCCACCUCAGCCUCCUGUGUAGUGGGGACCACAGGUGUGUGCCACCUCAACUGGCUAAUUUUUUUUUUUUUUUUUAUUUUUCGUAGAGAUAGUUUUCGUCAUGUUGCCCAGGCUGGUCUUGAACUCCUGAGCUCAAGCAAUCCAACUGCUUCGGCCUCCCAAAGUGCUGGGAUUACAGGCAUGAGCCAUCAUGCCCAGCCGAUAGACUUAUUCUUAACAGUAAUUUAUUAAAACAUAUUCAAUUAUAUUUUAAAUAUUAUUUAAAAUGUGAAAGUCACUGACAAAAAUCUCUCUGCAAGAAACUGUGUGCAGUAACUAAGCUCACAAAUAGGCAAAGUCUUUACAAGUAUUUAACUUAAAUUAAAUUUAAAUUUUGUUUAAUAAUUUUAUUUUAACUUAAAUUUUGUUAUCUUUUUGUGGAUUUAUGGGGUACAAGGGCAGUUUUGUCACAUGGAUAUAUUGCAUAGUAGUAAAGUCUAGGCUUUUAGUGUAACCAUCACCCGAAUAGUGUACAUUGUACCAAUUAGGUACUUUCAUCUCUCAUCUCCAUCCUGGUCUCUCACCUUUCAAGUCUCUAAUGUCUAUUAUUCUACUUUCUAUGUCCCCAUGUGUACAAAUAAUUCAGUUCCCACUUAGAACAUGCAGUAUUUGAUUUUCUGUGUCUGAGUUAUUUAAGAUAAUGGCCUCCAAUUCCAUCUAUGUUGCUGCAAAAGACAUGAGUUAGUUCUUUUCUAUGGCUGAGUUAUAUUCCAUGGUGUGUAUAUAUAUAUACACACACACACACAUAUAUAUAUAUGUGUGUGUAUAUAUAUAUACACACACACACACACACACACACAUAUGUGUGUGUAUAUAUAUAUACACCGAAUUUUCUUUUUAUAAUUGUUGAUACACACACACAUAUGUGUGUGUGUAUAUGUGUGUAUAUAUGUAUAUAUAUGUGUAUACAUAUGUAUAUAUGUGUAUAUGUGUAUAUAUGUAUAUAUAUGUGUAUAUAUGUGUGUAUAUAUGUAUAUAUAUGUGUAUAUAUAUGUAUAUAUGUGUGUGUGUGUGUGUAUAUAUAUAUAUAUACACCGAAUUUUCUUUUUAUAAUUGUUGAUGGACAUUUAGGUGAAUUUCAUAGUAUUUUUAUUUUGAAUUCAGCUAUAACUCACAAUUACAAUGAUCGGUGGCCCAACAACUGGAGUAGAUUUCACCAUUACUCUAGUCCAAGUGCUCUACUUAUCUGCUUUUCCCAUUUUACUUCCUAAGUCCUAAGUCCUGCACAUUGCUGUGAAGUCAUUCUCUUACUCAAAACUUUGGCUCACACAGUUGUCUUCUCCUUGGCUGUCUCUUUAUUAUAGUCUUUAUUCUUCCAGAUAAAUUGCAUCAACAAACACCAUUAAACCUGAUACCUGCAGUCAAAAGUGAUAUUUCACUAUUCCAUAAUAUUUUCCUUGGGCAAAACACCAAAAGCUAAUCUUUUAAAAAUUAUUAUAUUUUGCCCCCAAAUUCUCAACAUUCUUAUUUAUAAUUGCUAAAACUGAACAGGAGUAGGCUGGGCCCCUUCCCAGGCCUCUGCUAUGUUGAGUGAUUUUUUCUUUUUUUCUUAAGGUAAUAAUGAGAGUGGUGGAGCAGGAGGUCAGAAAGCAAAGACCCAGUGAUUUGAACAGAGGCAAAAGCCAUGAACAAAAAAAUUGGAGAAGUCAGAGAAAGAAAUUGAAGUUGGAGUUGACCCAAAGUUUGUCUUAUUGGAUUAAUGACUAAGCGAGUUAAACUAGCAAAGCUAAGGAAGUUGAUGGUGUGUCUUAGGAAAUCACUGAUUUCUAGCCAAAGUUCAUGGUUUUCUGUUAUGGGCUGGUGGGAUCAGUGGAAACUGAAUGGUGGAAUUGCCUGGAUGGGAGAAGUAGAAACACAAUAGGAUGGAUUCAGUUUGUAUCUUUAAGUGGCCUUUAAAAUAUUUUUCCAUUUUUUUUUUAAAGCAAGGUGGGUGGUAUGACAUUAUUAGAAGGACAGGCAGAUGGUGUCACUAAUUUGGAUUGUUUCCCAAAUGGUGCCUCUUGGCUCUGCUUCUUGGAUUUUGGAUGGUGUUCUGUGUGUCUUGGCUGGCCAGCAGCGUCUUCAGGUAAUAAGGUGGAAGGGAGGCUCAGCAGUGAGCUAGAAGUGGAAGCCCUUGUUGCUGUGGAAUAGGGGAAAUAUGUGUAAUUAGCAUCCUGAAAGUGGGAUUUGAGCCAAGCUAAUUAUGAGUUCUGCAAACUGCAAGUUCUGGAUGUCCCUGCAGAACUAAGCUGUGUAUUACAUUAGGAAAUUUUCAUGGGCCAACUGAGUUUCUACUGAAGGCAUAGCUAAAGGCCCUGUGGUGGACACCUUACCUCCUGGGAGCUCUUGCUUUCCUCUAUUAGUGUUGUGGUGUCCUGGUGUAUUCGUGUGCAUGUGUGUGUGUGUGUAGCUCUUUUAAUACAGGAUUUCCUGUGUUGAAAGAAUCCCCAUAGGUCCUCCUCAUCUCCCACUGAGAAUCUUAUAAUAGUCUCCUAAUUAAUGUAUUUCUAGUUCCAGCCUCACUUCUCUGCCUGAAAAACUUCCUUUGUUAUAUUCUGUGGAACAGUCCACUGGUGAUAAAUUAUCUUAGUUUUAGUCUGAUUUUUUUUAAAUGUCAUCUUUAUUUUUUAUGUAUAGAAUUCCAUGUUGGAAGUUUUCUCUUAGCACUUUCUAGUGCUUUCUAUUGUUUUGUUUAGAAAUCAGUCCUAGGGAAUGAAUUACUUCUCCUUUUAAGAUAAUAUGUCAAUAUUUUUUUUCCUGUGACUGCUUUUAAGAAUUCAUCUUUGUCUUUCGUUUACAACAGUUUUACAGUUACAUACCUAGGUAUGCUUCUCUUUGUAUUGAUAUAGUUUGUAGUUUGUAGGGUUUCUUGAAACUGUGGCUUACUUUUUAAAAAUCAUUUGUAUCCAGUUCUUCCUCUCCCCUCCCCUACUUUUUUUCUUGGACUUCAAUACAUACAUGUUACACUGUUGUCCUGUAAGCUUGAUAUUUAUUGUAUUAUUUUUCUGUUCUUGUCUCUCAAUGCUUCAAACUGUGUGCUUUUAUGUCUUAUUUUCCACUUCACUUGUUCUCUUUUCAACUCUGUCUAAUGUGCUAUGAAACAAUUCACUAUUGUUAUUAAUUUAAAAAUGCUAGCAUUUUUAAUUGGCUCUUAUUUAUUACUUUUAGUUUACCACAACCAAUCUCAGUUUCUUUUUUUUUUGAGACAGAGUCUCGCUCUGUUGCCAGGUUGGAGUGCAGUGGCAUGAUCUCAGCUCACUGCAAUCUCCACCUCCUGGGUUCAAGCGAUUCUCCUGCUUCAGCCUCCCAAGUAGCCAGGACUACAGGUGUGUACCACCAUGCCCAGCUAAUUUUUGUAUUUUUGGUAGAGAUGGGGUUUCACCAUGUUGGCCAGGAUGGUCUGGAUCUCUUGACCUCAUGAUCCACCUGCCUUGGCCUCUCAAAGUGCUGGGAUUACAGGCGUGAGCCACUGUGCCCAGCCAGUCUUUUUUUUUUUUUUUUUUUGUAAAACAGGGUCUCACUUUGUCACCCAGGCUGGAGUGCAGUGGUGCAAUCAUGGCUCACUGUAGCCUUGACUUAACUGGGCACUAGCUAUCCUUUUACCUCACUCUCCCAAGUAGCUGGAACUACAGGUGUGUGCCACCACACCUGGCUAAUUGUUUUUUUUUUUUUUUUUUUUUUUUGUAGGGGCAAUCUCCCAAUGUGCCUAAACUGGUCUCGAACUCCUGGGCUCAAGCUAUCUUCCAGCCUUGGCCUCUCAAAAUGCUGGGAUUACAAGUGCCUCCCACCAUGCCCAGGCAACAUCAGUCUUGUCUUUUAUUCUUUGACUAGGGUAACAAUAUUUAAAAUAUAUGUCUGAUAGCUGCAUUAUUUGGGUCUUCUUUGAGUCUGUUCAUAUUGUUUGUGUGAGUUUCUCUUAGUUUGCAGUCACAUUGCUUUGUUUGCUCAUGGACCUGGCCAUUUCUGAUUGAAUGCUGGUUAUUGUAUCUAUAAUUUGUAAUCAAUUUUAAAAUCUUAAAUAAUGGUAUCAUCCUCCAGAAAUCAUUUAUAUUGUUUCUAAAAGAAUGCUAGAGUGCUUUAGCAACUUUUCUUUUUCUUUUCUUUCUCUUUCUUUCUUUCUUUCUCUCUCUCUCUCUCUCUCUCUCUUUCUUUCUUUCUUUCUUUCUUUCUUUCUUUCUUUCUUUCUUUCUUUCUUUCUUUCUCUUUUUCUUUUUUUGAGAUGGAGUCUUGCUCUGUCGCCCAGGCUGGAGUAUGGUGGCACAAUCUUGGCUCACUGCAAGCUCCGCCCUUCAGAUUCAAGCAAUUCUCCUGCCUCAGCCCCACCAAGCAGCUGGGAUUACAGGUGCCCACCACCAUGCCUGGCUAAUUUUUGUAUUUUUAGUAGAGACGGGGUUUCACCAUGUUGGCCAGGCUGGUCUUGAACCCCUGACCUUAGGUGAUCUGCCCACCUUGGCCUCCCUAAGUGCUGGGAUUACAGGUGUGAGCCACUGCGCCCAGCCAGCAACUUUACUUUCAGCACCUCUUCUCGAAUUGGCUAAUGUGCUUGUAGAUACCUGGCCUCAAAUGCCAGGCUCAACAACCUGGGUUUAUUUCUUUAUCCAGAUAGCCCUCACUAACUUAACAUUUUGAUGCUUUUAAGCAAUUUUUUGAUUCAGUAUUUCUGGUUGAGCGAGACAGUUGGUCUACACUACUCAGUCUAUCAUUGCCAGAAGUAGAUAUAUAAAUGAUUAAUCUAAUCAUUAAUAAAAUUAAUUAUAAAUUAAUUACAAAUUACAUUAAAUUGGUGCAAAUUACAUUAAAUCCUAAAAAGUGGAGAACACAAACUUGUUAUUGGUGAAGAGGAAACUUUAAGAAACAUUUUUGGAAUAUUUCCACCUCUACUUCUAAUCAAACCAUUUACCAAUAGAGGGGUUAUAGAGGGGUUACUAGUAAUUUUGAUUAUUCUGAGAAGGUGUAUACAUGAAUAUGAAUUAUUGUAUUUAUCCAUCCCUUAGGUGCUCUUUCUUGCUAUAUGUGAUUUUCUUGACAAAACUGUAUCUCCAGUCCUAAUUACAAAAAUGUUUUUGAUUACUUAUUGAUGACAUUUCUGUCUCAAAGUAAUAUUUGUGAAUUAAGAUGACUUCAUUAGUUAUCGUCAAUUAUUAGAAGUACAGGGAGAGCAUUUGGCUGAAAUUUAAAUAGACCCAUGAAGUUAGUUAUUAUACUCUCUUAGAACUCCUCUUUCUACUCUGGGAGACAAGCCAUUUAAAUGACAAAGUGUUCUUGGAAGAAAAGCUCUAGACUGUCCCUGAUUGGCUACAGCCCUAUAUAUAGAGUUUAGAAAUAUGCAGACAAGACAUUGCCAACAUGGCCGAGUAAGAGAUACCAGCCAUGGCUGAAGGACUCAGAUAGGCCCACUCAAAAAGCCAUGUUUCAAGGCGGUGCAAUACAAUUCUUGAGAGAAAAAUCACAUGUACAUACAGAGAAUUGCAAUAGAGUGGGCCAGAAUAAACAAUAAUUCCAACUGUAGUACAUGGCUGCACUUGACCACCCUCUGAUGCAGCACCCCAGAUUGCUUACCUCCUUAUAGAAAUGAUAAAGAAGAUCCUGAUGGAUGGACGUCCAAGACUCUCUACUGUGGAAUCCUCUUCUAGGCUGAAUAUUUGGAGAAGAAAGUGUUUCUUUAUGAUGGAGAACCAUGUGAAAACUGAAGGUCUGACAGCAGACGAUGGAAAGUCCAAGGAAUUGGCAUUAGAAAGAGAAAAUAAUGCACUCUCAAGGGACGUUAGUGGUUCAAGGUAGGCCAUACCCUUUGGCACAGAGAGGCAUUGCACAGUGACUUAAUAUGAGUAGAACAAUGGCUGAACAAUGGUGCAGAAACACAGAGUUUUAGCCAAAAGAGAAGGAUGGUAGAGCCACAGUCACGGACUUGCAUUCUGUGUGAAGCAGAGCCCUCUUUACCCACUGGGGAUUCUUAGACUGACAUAAAAAAGAAAGGAUGAAAGCAUUCCUAUUUCUCCAUAGCCUCACCAGCAUCUGUUGUUUCUUGACUUUUUAAUAAUUGCCAGCCUGACUGGCAUGAGAUGGUAUCUCAUUGUGGUUUUGAUGUGUAUUUCUCUAAUGAUCAAUGAUGUCGAGCUUUUUUCAUGUUUGUUGACCACAUAAAUGUCUUCUUUUGAGAAGUGUCUGUUCAUAUCCUUUGCCCACUUUUUAACUGGGUUGUUUUCUCUAGUAGUUUUUUGAAUAUGAAUUAUUCUGUUAUAAAGAUAUAUGCACGUGUAUGUUCAUUGCAACACUGUUCACAAUAGCAAGGACACAGAAUCAACCCAAAUGCCCAUCAAUGAUAAACUGGAUAAAGAAAAUGUAAUACAUAUACAUCACGGAAUACUAUGCAGCCAUAAAAAUAAUAAGAUCAUGUCCUUUGCAGGGACAUGGAUGGAGUUCAAAGCCAUUAUCCUCAGCAAACUAAUGCAGGAACAGAAAACCAAACACUGCAGGUUCUCACUUAUAAGCGGGAGCUGAACAAUGAGAACAUAAACACAAGGAGGGGAAACAACAUACACUGGGGCCUGCCGGGGGAAGGUUGGGGGAGAGAGAGCAUUAGGAUAAAUAACUAAUUCAUGCUGGGCUUAAUACCUAGGUGAUGGGUUUGAUAGGUACAGCAAACCACCAUGGCACACAUUUACCUACGUAACAAACCUGGAUGCCCUGCACAUAUUCCCAUAACUUAAAAUAAAAUUAAAUAAGCAUGAGGUUCGUUAGUUCAGCUUUAAUUAUUUGAGGCCUUUAAUUAUGACCUGAUAUUGGGCAGAGCCUGGGGAAUAUUAUUGUUACAAGUAAACAUCCCUGAGGACGGUCAGAUACAGGGGAGGGUAAUCCUGGGCGAAGUCUGGGUUUUUUGCAAACCAAAUAAGUGGUGAUUCAAAACAUCUAUGAAUAUUGGCCAAAGAAGCUCGAACCCUUUAUGGUACAGGAGAAUAUUAAAAUGAAAAUAAUCAAUUUGAAAGAUACUUCAGCCAGUUUUAGCUCCUGCAAAUGUGUCGAAUACAGACAAUUCACUGUGACUUUCAAUCUGUCUUCUAUAAGUAGCUUCUUUAAUUUCCAUGAGCUGUUGUUCAUUAGAGGAGGAGAUUAUUGACAUUUAGAGUUUUCUCAAGGAUCAGAUUUUUGUUUGACUACUUAGAUGCUCUCUCUUCUGAGUAAAAUGUAUAUUGGUAAACCUUUGUGAGUUGAGAAAUUUAUAUAGCCCUUUUGGUAAGAAAUUGCACAUGUGGGUGUACGUUUGUUCUGUUUUCUCCAGUGGGUGUGAGGUCAUAGCAAGUGACCAAAGGCCACUGGAAUGGCUCAUCCAUAGGGUCAAAGGACUGAGGUCUAUGCAGGAAGUAUUCUUUCUGGGAUGUGGAAAGGAACCUAUUACCUAUUGGCUGUCUGUAACCUAUCUUGAUCUUCUCAAAUCUUGUUGUUAUUAUCAGUGACACAAGCAGAUAUUUAUAUAGAACACCACACAUUUUGCAGGUAAAAUUGGAACUCCCCUUUUUAUGCCUCAGAAAGUGCGUGCUGAUAAAUCACUAACUUACUUUAUUCUUUAAUUAUAAAGAAUAUGCCUGAAACAUACAGUGCUUCAGCCCUAGAUACAGAAGUCAGACAAUGAUAUAUUCAUGACAGAUUUAAGGGGUGAAGCUGAGGAGUGAAACCACCAAGAUGAUGACCAGUAGCUUCUGGGGCACAACACCCAUGGGGCCAGGAAGAGCAGUAUGGAGAGCUGACAGGCUAAAUGCUAAAGACGGGGUAGUGUUGUGUCCCACAAGGCUCUGGAGUUACCUGGGUCACGACUCCACUGCUGCUGCUUAUGAACUCUUACGCUUAUUGCAAAGCAUUUCAAUUCUGCAAGCCUUAGUUCCCUGAUUUGCAACAUUGGGAUAGUAUUAGGACUUUUGUGUUAUUAUUAAAUAGUAUAUCCAAAGUGCUUAUCUACCACAUAGAAUGAUUUAUAUAAUAACAAUAGCAAAUAGUUACUUUGAUUAAUUUUUAGGGAAGUCUUUAUGUUAAUCUUCUAAGAAGUAAAGAGAAAUGUCAAUCAUCCUUAUAUAAGUAUCUCAGGAUAAGGAAUAAGGAGAAAGAAAUUGUGUGAGGGAAGUCAUUCUGGAUAAGAUCAAUAUGUUGAUGUGUAUUACAUGAUCUAUAAGGAAUAGAAUAUCAGAAUAUUUUGGUGGAAUUUUGAGUCAGAACAAGAACCUGUUCACUUCUUACAGACAAUUACUAUCCUGGAGAAAAAUUAUGGUGAUAAAGAUAAAUAACAUGUAGGCGGUGACCAAGAAGCACCUAGGGAUGUGCCAAAUUAUUCCACUGUUUCAAAUAAAAAAUGGUAGAUGUAAUAGAUGACCCCUGGUAAAAGCAGAUGAUCUGAAAAUGCAUUAUGAAAGAAUAAGGUUUCCCCAAAGGUGCUAAGAAUUAAUGCUCUUGAAUAUUUUCUUUUCUUGAUGCAACCAUAUUUGUAAAUGUAAAUAGUUUCUUAUUUUGUAAAAACUGAGCAAAAAAUGUGUUUACCAACAAACAUUUGCAUGAGGUGAGGCUAGGGUUUUCACUGCACGGCAGGAUACAGCAUCUGCUCUGAAGAAACAUGUAGGGAACGUAAGUCAUUUCACACCCAACAGGACAUUGCUGUGGAGCUAUACUUAUCUGAUAAAGCCAUAAACAUAACCAGAUGAGGAAUGCCAUUUUCAUGCAUGGAAACACAAUCUAACUUCAUACUAAUUCACAGUUUGCAUGUCAUCUGUUUUCUGAUUUGGAGUUUUGUCCAAAAGCAAUACAAUUUUGAUAUGACCAUAUUUUAAAGGCAUGAGAACAUCCAUCUGGGACAGUUUUUAUGAUUUUCAUCCUGCAACAUGGAAUAGAAUGUCUGAUAAUAGAAGACACUAUAUUGAUAUGUGGUCAUUUUGCUGUAAAAGACCAUCUGCCUACCUCUGUACAACAUGGUUGAAGAAGCAUAAAGUGAAGACUCAAAUCCCUUUACACUCUUGAAGACCAGAUGCCUUUAUGACAUGACUGAUGGGUGGGGUAAAUUCAUCCCAGUUCCCAUCCGGUGGGUAGACACUAGGUAAUAGGCAAAAGAGCCAGCUGCCAAGAAUCCAAAGCACCAUUGCAUUUUAGAAUUUCUGCGUAGCAUUUUAUUCAAAUUCAGCAGGAAGCUGAAACUUUUUAGACUAAUGAUUUUAUGAAGAACCUUAGAGAAAUGUGACUGUCAGAAAAUGUAGCUGUUUGGUAUGUUACACUAACUAUGGCUAACUCUUUAAAAAUGCUAUAUUGAAUUUUGGAAUAAGUUCAAUGCUUCUUUUCUUGGAAAAGCAUGGACUUGGUGUUAAAUGUAAUGCAGUGGACCAAGAGUUCAAGAGUGAACCACUUUAAUCCUGCUUCCAGAGAUGGUGUGCUCUGUAACCUUGGGCAAUAUAUUUAACCCGCAUAGGGAAAAGGAAAAGUGUUCUAAAGCAGUUCCCUCCAAGACAGAAUAAUUUUACAAUGCUUGACAGGGCAUUGGGUGCAAUGAAAAUUAAAAAUAACAAUGACUGUUCUUCAAAGACAUUGCUGAAGUGUUUUAAUAUCCUGUCCAAUUAGAGAAAAUAUGAGAAAUGAGCCUCUCUGAUUCUCACGUUUGGCUGGAAAUCUUGGCUGGCUAUGGGGACAAUCUGUUACUGCUGGCUGUUGCUCUGGGGGUGGGUUAAUGCCAGCCAUUCAGAUGCUCACUAAAAUCUGUAUUCUUGUGGAAUGGUGAUUUUCUGCUUCCAGUGAUCAGCUUGUGACUCUUUGUAGCACAAGCAAAAAAGCCUCAUUUUCAACCCUUCGGCCUUCUUGGAGUUUUGGGCCUGCAGCUCAGACUCCCUGUACUUCUUGAAGCUCAUUAGUCAGUUCACAGCCAUCUGUCUUUGUACCAUUAACCCACCGAUUGGACACUCCACAGUUGUUUUCUGUGUCUGUUCUGGUAAAUUAUGUGCCACAGCUGUUAUGCACUCUGAGGUACAUGCUGUUCUAAUGACAGCUCCUUCAGAAAAGAUCUGGAUGGAGAAUACCUCUGUGUGAAUCUGAAGCUGUGGAAGUUUGGUCCUUGGCUGGGAGGGGCAUGGAGGGAGGGUUUGAAUAAGGGCAAUCCUUGAUUUUGCUAUAGGAUGACUGUGACGAUGGAAAAGUAUCAUUCUUCAGUGACCAGUGGAUCAGAUGAGAAUACAGGGAAGCAUAAGAGAAAAUCAAAUGGAGGCUAGAGCAAUUUUCUGGCCUUGGAAGAAAAAUAAUUGCACAAAGGAGAGUGGUAACUUGCGAAUAGUUAGCAGUAAGAGUGUGAGUUUCCUCUCUUCCUUUUCUCUAACUUAAUCUGUCCAGUCCACAUUAUGGGUGAGCUCCCUAAAUGCUAUGCAUGCUGCUUGGAUAGGAUAAAAAGAAAUUGAUAAAACCUGCCUGUAGUUCCCUGGACGGCUUGAUAUGACUGGGGAUGCAGAGCUAGCAACCUUCCUAAGGAGAGAAGGCAGCCUACUGGGGGCAGGGCUCUAUUGGAUUUUUCUGUUCAUUCUCCAGACACUGUGGAAGACUUUUAGGAAGUGCUGGGGGAUGAGAGUACCUGAAGGUAGUGCUUGCUGCCUCAAGAGAGAGAAAGUGACAGUGGCUGGAUGUGAAGUAGUGAAGAGACGUAUACUCUCUCCUACUUAUUUAUGUAUUCAAUUUUUAAUAAAUAUGCAUUUAUGGAUAUGUAUUUUAUUCUGUGGGUCUUAGUACAACGUUAUUUUGCUGCUCCAAUUUCUCUAUUUUGACUAUUAGGAGCCCCUUGAGAUUGCUCCCUGUGUCUAGAAUCGACUGUAUUUUCUCUGCGUCAGUCCUGGGAUCAACCACUUCUCUAAAAGGUCCUGAUUUCCUUUAUUAGAGAAUGGAGUUUGGAAACCAAGAUCUGAGGGCCAGGUACAUUUGUUGCUGUUAAGAUAUUAUUGCUUCUUUGUCCUUUCAGUGGGCGAAACUAGGAAAUAUAUAUAUAUAUAUAUAUAUAUAUAUAUAUAUAUAUAUAUAUGUAUACUAAGUCAUACAUACACAUGCAUCUGUAUUUAGUUCUGUAUCUGUCUGUGCAUGUAUUGAAAUUCAUGUUUAUACCAUUACCUCUCAUUGCAAUCCAACAAAAUUGAGUCCUUUUUCCUUUUCUUUGUAACUUCCUUCACUGUAAGAAAUUUGACUAGCAGUGCUGAUAAUAUACUUACUGAUUUAUUCAAACCUAGUAUACAUAUAAAGUAGUUUCAGUUGCUGAUUUAUGCCUCUGUGAGAAACACAUUUACUAACUAGAUUACAGUAUUUGUAUAUAGGAUUUUUGUCUUUUGGAUCUAAACUUAUUUUGAUAAUACAUUUAUUUCCUCUCAAAUUUAGUUUUCAAGAUGACCUUCUCCAGUAUCAGCUAUAGUGAGAUAAUUAUCGCAUAAAUUGACUUUUGGUGGCACAGGUUAUCACUGGAACACAGAAAUGUGCACACUGGCUACAGAUAACAAAGAUAUCUGUAAUAUGAAGGAAAAAGGUUUCACCUAUGUUUGCUUAUUCUUAAUUGGAAGUAUAUACUUUGUUAUAACUUUGUGCUUUUUUGUCCAGUAUCAGCUCAAAAAUCAAUAUUUCUUUGAAGUCUCAGAGCAACAUACUAAAUUUUUACAGGAAGCCCAUACUAUCAACACACAUUUUAGAUUUCAGUUAUAAGAUUAGUAUAUCAAAAUGACUCCAAAAUUCACUGCAACUACCCUUUUGAAUGGAACUCAUCUCCUUGGGAGUGUUUCAUAAUAAUUGAUAUUAAUCUAUACUAUAUCUCUGCAUCUAUAUUAUGUGGUAUCUUCCUAUGAGUUAUUUUUACAAUUUAUAAGCCCUAAGACGGGUUUUUUCCUAAGUGGCAUUUUUUUUCAAAUCCAAAUAAUAUACAGGCAAUUCUUGAAAAUCUGCUGAAAAUUAUAAGAACACAAUGACAUUUAUACCUAUUAAGAAGGCAAAGAUUAGGUAAUAAGAAUGAAUAAAAGCAAUUCAUUUAUUCAAUAUGUAUUGAGUCCCUACUCUAUGCUAGGUGCUGAGAAAAGAGUUGUAAUUAAAAUAAACAAAAAAACUGUCUUCAUGGAAUUCAUAUUCCAGUGGGAGAAAGAUGGGUAAUAACUAAGUAUAUAGUGUAGUAUUAUUGGAAGGCAGUAAGUGAUACAGAGCAAAGAAAGCAGGGAAGGUGGACAGGGAAAUUUAGGGCCUGGGUUGAGUUAUAAACUUAAUUAGGGUGGUCAGGGAAGUUACUGAAACAGUGACACUUGGGCAUUUGAAAGAUGGGAGGGAAGAAGCCAUGGGGAAUCUGGGCAAUCAUAAAGAUCUCAAGGUAGGAAUGUGUCUCAAGGAGCAUCACAGAGGUCAGAGUGGCUGGAGUGGAAUGAAUUAUAGGGAGUAUUAAGAGAUGAAGUGGGAAAGGCAGUGAGGUGAGGUGCAGGGGCAAACAAUGAGAAGCAGGAUGACGGGAAUGUCUUGAAGCCAUUGCCCAGCCAUAGCUUUUACUUUAUUUGCAAAGGCAAGCCACUGGAGGGUUUUGAUCAGAUGCUAGAUGUGAUCAAGAUCUUGUUAUUGCCAAAUAACUACAACUGUCCCACAAACUCGAUUGCAUGCAUCUCACUGAUUAUGAUCUCUUAUUUUCCCAAUUUACUUCAUCGAGAACCCCAACUUCAAUGAUCCUUUGAUCCUGCCAGGACCUCCAGUUCAUUGAUCUCAAUCUUUCCUUGUUCCUUAUCCCCUGAUACCCUCUCCCUACUUGUUAGUUUGGUGAAAUCCUAUGGUCAGUCAUUAUAAUCACUUAGUUGACUACAGCUGAAAGUCUCUUGCCCUUCUUUUUUACUUUCCUCUGUGGUUGCUUGGCAAAAUCACAACCUUGAUUCAGUUCAACUUUUUGCAUUCCACACCUGCACUCGUGCAACUAAAUGUAGCUGGAGGGAAAAACGCAUCUUCCUGGACUGGUCUGACUUUAAAUUAGUAAGAAUGAAUCUCAAAUGCACUCAAUGUCACCAGGCAUUUGUAAGAGGGUUUAUUGGGCUAGUCUGAUUUUAAAUCAGUGAUAAUGAACCUCAAAUGCACUCAGUGUUACCAGGCAUUUGUAAGAGGCUUUACACUCCCAGGAGUUAUCAUUCACCCUCCUUCUCUCCUAGAUGAUUUACUGUCUUCUUGUUUUGCCUUAAACUUGAAACACAUUUCCCCUAUCUUUCCCUCCUUGCUUUCUACUUUACUAAAAUGAUUCGAAAAUCAGAAGAGACCCUCCAUAGACUUUUGCAUCCAACUAUACACCACCAGUAUCUGCCACAUCUUGCAUUCUUGCCUGUAACCAGAGGUAAACUGUAAUGCUCCAAUCUAAAUCCAAAGCCAAUCUGUCUACAUUAUUGACUGGAUCCCAUUUUUCAUCACUCCUUCCAUCCCACAAAAAUCAAUCUUUUUACUCACACAACUGGGUCAUACUCAUUAAUAUGCUGGUGUUUCUUUCAUUAAAAAAUUUUAUAAAACCACCUUCCUUCAACUUCUCUUCCCUCCCCAGUCCAUUAGUUCUCUGCUUUGCAGCACAAUUCUAUAAAAACUUUGUCUCUGUUCCAGCCAGGCACGGCGGCUCAUGCUUGUAAUAUCAGCACUUUGGGAGGCCAAGGCGGGUGGAUCACCUGAGGUCGGGAGUUCAAGACCAGCCUGACCAACAUAGAGAAACCCUGUCACUACUAAAAAUACAAAAUUAGCUGGGCAUGGUGGCAUUAGAUGCCUCUAAUCCCAGCUACUCCGGAGGCUGAGGCAUGAGAAUUGCUUGAUUGCAGGAGGUGGAGGUUGCAGUGAGCUGAGAUCACACCAUUGCACUCCAGCCUGGGCAACAAGAGUGAAACUCUGUCUGAAAAACAAACAAAGCAAAACAACAAAAAAGCUUUGUUUCUGCUCGUUGACUCCAUAUUCUCUCUUCCCUUCUGACUUGGAUUUAUCUCAAUCAGGCCUUGCAUUUUUCUCAAUCACUCUAUUAAAGUUGCUCUUGUCGAGGCCUUAAGGUCAUAUUAUUUAAUUCACUGCUGAAUUCUCAGCUUCGUAUUACUUGGCCUUUCAGCAGGAUUUGUUAACAGUUGAUCAUUUACUCCUCUUCACUUGACUUCCAGGACACCGUACUCACCUGGUUGUUUUCUUAUCUUUUUGAUGGCUCUUCCUCAGGCUCCUUUGCUGAUUCCUUCUCUUUCCCUCCACCCUAAUAAUAAAGACCCCUGAGACUUAGUUCAUGAUUCUCUUCUUUAUUAAUAAUUACUUUCUUGAUCUCAGCCAUUUCAUGGCCUUAAGUACUCUCUAUAUGUCAACGACUCCCAAAUGUACAUUUUGAACACAUACCUUUCUCUCACAUCUCAUCUUCAUCCAUUAGAACAUUAUUUUGGCUCUACUUUGAGAAUAUAUUCAGCAUAUUCAUUGCUAACUACUAAUCACCACCCCUAGUACCAUCGCCUUGAUCUGUAGCCAUCAUCAUCUCCCACCUGAAUUAUUACCAUAGCCUCAGAGUUGGUCUUUUUGAUUCAAUUUCCCUACACAUUCUGUCAGCUCAGUGGACAGCAGAUGAAAUGAGAAUAGACUCUAAGAGGUGGACAGGUGGAAGCAGAGAAAUCUGAAGAGAGGUCAGAUAAAGGUGUUGAGUGAGAAUCAGAUUCUGGAAACAUUUUGAUAUUUUGAAGGCAGUUCAAUAGGAUUUGUGGAUGAGAGAAGUCAAGAGUGCCUUUGAGGUUUUUGGCCUGAGCAAUUGAAAGCAUGGAGUGUGGUGAAAGAGGUGGGAUCCCACACUGCUAAUGAAUAUUUAAAUUUUAUAAUUUUUGAAAAGCAUCAUGAAAAUCUGUAUCAUGAGCCUUUAAAUAUUCAUACUUUUUUAACCACUGGUCCUAUUUAGAUGGUU
RNAcentral lists this long non-coding RNA (17418 nucleotides) under Homo sapiens (human). RNAcentral's name for it is "non-protein coding lnc-LMO7DN-6:3". Lineage: Eukaryota; Metazoa; Chordata; Mammalia; Primates; Hominidae. The record is from RNAcentral.